RNAcentral lists this long non-coding RNA (408 nucleotides) under Cricetulus griseus (Chinese hamster). Its description in RNAcentral is "lncRNA (ENSCGRG00015024467.2)". The record is from RNAcentral. Lineage: Eukaryota; Metazoa; Chordata; Mammalia; Rodentia; Cricetidae.
CCCAGCCUUUCCUCCUGCCUGCGGCAGCCUGAAAUGCUAGAACUCUGUAAACUUCAACUUGCUGCUUUUGAAACUAAGGCUCUCUGGGACUUACUCCUCUGCCAGUUUGCUACAAUCUGGAUGCACGCAAUGUCGGGGAGGAAGACAAACACUGGCAUUGGAGUCAACUGUACAGGGUUAGAAUCCUGGCCCUGCCCUAUGAUAGCUGACCGUGGACUUGAGAUCCUCAGCCUCCUGAGUGCUAAGAUGAGAGGGUACCAACAUCUGAGCGCUCAAAGGUGGCAUUCCAGAGUCAGAGCUGAACCACACAGAAAGCAGACUUGGAAAUUUCACUUACUGAAGGGUCACCAUCAUCUUUUUCUUCAUGGACUGAAUUAUUUCAAGGAUCUUCAUAUCUGUUGGAAUGGG